This 584-nucleotide ribosomal RNA is filed under the name uncultured bacterium. RNAcentral's name for it is "bacterial SSU rRNA". It matches the Rfam family "Bacterial small subunit ribosomal RNA", at positions 335 to 919 of the family's 1533-position model. The record is from RNAcentral.
AUUCCUACGGGAGGCAGCAGUGAGGAAUAUUGGUCAAUGGACGAGAGUCUGAACCAGCCAAGUAGCGUGAAGGAUGACUGCCCUAUGGGUUGUAAACUUCUUUUAUAAGGGAAUAAAGUGAGGGACGUGUCCCUUUUUGUAUGUACCUUAUGAAUAAGGAUCGGCUAACUCCGUGCCAGCAGCCGCGGUAAUACGGAGGAUCCAAGCGUUAUCCGGAUUUAUUGGGUUUAAAGGGAGCGUAGGUUGACAUAUAAGUCAGCUGUGAAAGUUUACGGCUCAACCGUGAAAUUGCAGUUGAUACUGUAUGUCUUGAGUGUACAAGAGGUGGGCGGAAUUCGUGGUGUAGCGGUGAAAUGCUUAGAUAUCACGAAGAACUCCAAUUGCGAAGGCAGCUCACUGGGGUACAACUGACACUGAGGCUCGAAAGUGUGGGUAUCAAACAGGAUUAGAUACCCUGGUAGUCCACACAGUAAACGAUGAAUACUCGCUGUUUGCGAUAUACAGUAAGCGGCCAAGCGAAAGCAUUAAGUAUUCCACCUGGGGAGUACGCCGGCAACGGUGAAACUCAAAGGAAUUGACGGAAU